GAUCCCUUUGGGAUGUUUCUGUUUAAGACAGGGGACACUUACACAUUAGGAAACUGGAGUCAUGUCGGUGGAGGAGAAAGUGGCUGUAGAAAAGGUAACGGACAAGAAAUCCCUCACUGGCUUAGCUGUAAAGGUCAGAGGAAAAUCAUCUUCUGUUCUCCAUACACAUCUCCUGUAAUUAGGCACCUGUGCCCUUUAAAAAAGUAAAGUAAUCAAAGAGUCAUUUGGUGAAAAUAGAAGCCAAACAGUUACAAAAUUUAGUUAAUAUUCAAAGACAAAACAACUCUGGUUCCAAAUAUAAAACCCUUUGUGUAAACACUGCGGGAAGGUGCCAAAGAGCCACCUACACAAAGAGAUGCCACAGAGUAAUUUGCGUACCCCAACAAUAGGAUCAUAUAUGGGCAAACCAAAAGACCAACAAAGACCCCUUGCAAUAAUCCCUUGAUUGGCAGAAGCAAGUGCAGCGUUAGAUUUAGUAUGUGUGACAAUUCUGAGAAUAGGAAGGAAUUUCACUGAAACUGUGUGAAGAUUUGUAUGUUAAAUACAUAUAAUGAGGGUUAUUUAGCUCUGGGGUGUGCAUGCUAUGUGGAGAGAUCCCCAUGUGCCCAGCACUGCAAUAGACUAAUGUCAGCUUUUUAAACCAUCAUUUGGUUUGAAGAGUUUAUUAUGAUUUUCAGAAACAGAAUUAUGUAUUCAGUGUCUGUACAUUCUUACAAGCCUGCUGUUCUGUACACAUGAAAAAGCUACUUAUGGUGCAAAUCAGUAUAGAGAAGCAGUUUUGACAUACAGUGGUCAUGACUGGGUGAUCUGCUGUCAGAAGGUAAGACACUGGUAUACAGAAUUGCAAACGUGAGAUGAAGACCUCAAGUGCAACUCUGUCAUCAUACCACUUCUCUUGCUAUUAUCUAUUCAGUGUUUGUUCUAAAUAUUCAGGCAGAAGGCUUGGUUUCACAUCAGGUGUUACAUUUAAGUAUUCUUUGCCCAUUUUUUGCUGUUUGUAUGUGUAACUUCAGAUUCUCACAUUGACUGUGUAGUGUAAAUUUGCAAAUAGAUGUAACAGCUUCUCUUUAACAUCCCAUGCCAAACUUUUAAUCACUUUCAAUCAAUGUUGGAAAUCUGCAGUACAUAAAUUUUAUUUUGAUUCAUUAUUCAGAGAAUCAGAGAAAUAAGGACUUUUUUAGAGGUUUAUGUUUAUUUUAGAAAAUAUAAAUAA
Molecule: long non-coding RNA, 1213 nt
Organism: Gallus gallus (chicken)
Lineage: Eukaryota; Metazoa; Chordata; Aves; Galliformes; Phasianidae
Source: Ensembl